UGAGACCACGUGGAAUAUGGCUCUAGU
Molecule: non-coding RNA, 27 nt
Filed under: Rattus norvegicus (Norway rat)
Lineage: Eukaryota; Metazoa; Chordata; Mammalia; Rodentia; Muridae
Source: RNAcentral